ACCAUAGUGUUGAAAGGGAUUAGUAAAUGAUGUAUAAGUCUUUAGAGAGAGGAUUCAUCGGCUGAAAGAUCCUUGACCUCUGUACAAGUUGAACCUGCCCUCGAGCUUAUUAGUUACUGUAAACUAAUCGUUACCCUCGUUACGGGUUUGAGUGGACAUGAUGAUACAUGUCAAACAAGGUGGUACCGCGGAAAGUAUGCUCUUCCGUCCUUUUA
Molecule: non-coding RNA, 215 nt
Filed under: Bacillus sp. (in: firmicutes)
Lineage: Bacteria; Bacillati; Bacillota; Bacilli; Caryophanales; Bacillaceae
Description: Bacillus sp. T-box sequence
Rfam family: T-box leader
About the family: Uncharged tRNA acts as the effector for transcription antitermination of genes in the T-box leader family.
Source: RNAcentral